GACGAACGCUGGCGGCGUGCUUAACACAUGCAAGUCGAACGGAAAGGCCCUGCUUUUGUGGGGUGCUCGAGUGGCGAACGGGUGAGUAACACGUGAGUAACCUGCCCUUGACUUUGGGAUAACUUCAGGAAACUGGGGCUAAUACCGGAUAGGAGCUCCUGCUGCAUGGUGGGGGUUGGAAAGUUUCGGCGGUUGGGGAUGGACUCGCGGCUUAUCAGUUUGUUGGUGGGGUAGUGGCUUACAAAGGCUUUGACGGGUAGCCGGCCUGAGAGGGUGACCGGCAACAGUGGGGCUGUGCUACGGCCCAGCCUCCUGCGGGCGGCAGCAGUGGGGAAUAUUGCACAAUGGGCGGAAGCAUGAUGCAGCAACGCCGCGUGCGGGAUGACGGCCUUCGGGUUGUAACCCGCUUUCGCCUGUGACGAAGCGUGAGUGACGGUAAUGGGUAAAGAAGCACCGGCUAACUACGUG
This 468-nucleotide ribosomal RNA is filed under the name uncultured bacterium. RNAcentral's name for it is "partial 16S ribosomal RNA". It matches the Rfam family "Bacterial small subunit ribosomal RNA", at positions 28 to 507 of the family's 1533-position model. The record is from RNAcentral.